GCCAGGCAUGGGGGCGCAUGCCUGUAAUCCCAGCUACUCAGGAGGCUGAGACAGGAGAAUCUCUUGAACCUGGGAGGCUGAGGUUGCAGUGAGCCAAGAUGGUGCCACUGCACUCCAGCCUGGGCAACAGAGUGAGACUCUGUCUCAA
This 148-nucleotide signal recognition particle RNA is filed under the name Nomascus leucogenys (northern white-cheeked gibbon). Its description in RNAcentral is "Metazoan signal recognition particle RNA". It matches the Rfam family "Metazoan signal recognition particle RNA". From Rfam's summary of the family: The signal recognition particle (SRP) is a universally conserved ribonucleoprotein. Lineage: Eukaryota; Metazoa; Chordata; Mammalia; Primates; Hylobatidae. The record is from Rfam by way of RNAcentral.